CCGAGUGAGGGCGCUCCGCGCCCGACCUCCAACCCUAUUGUCGUUGAAACCUCUGUUGCCUCGGGGGCGACCCGGCCGCCUGGCGCCCGGGACCCCCGGUGGACCACUCAACUCUUGCAUCUUUGCGUCGGAGUGAAACAUGAGAAUGAAUCA
RNAcentral lists this unclassified non-coding RNA (153 nucleotides) under uncultured Mycosphaerellaceae. Its description in RNAcentral is "sequence contains ITS1". The record is from RNAcentral. Lineage: Eukaryota; Fungi; Ascomycota; Dothideomycetes; Mycosphaerellales; Mycosphaerellaceae.